This 394-nucleotide long non-coding RNA is filed under the name Panax ginseng (ginseng). Its description in RNAcentral is "long non-coding RNA (PGIN_LNC016649)". Lineage: Eukaryota; Viridiplantae; Streptophyta; Magnoliopsida; Apiales; Araliaceae. The record is from RNAcentral.
UCAUAUACUAAUGUCACUACCCCAUCACUCCUUAUCCUUAUCAACUUCUAUUCACAUUAAACCCAUACACUUCCUAUCUCCCAACCCACAUUGGUUUUCCAUCCCUUAUAUGAACUCCAACUAUACAUAUAAUCCAAUUCAUAUCAGAUAUACACACUACACUCCAAUCCCACAUCUAAUUCAUUCCUUGCACAAAUUCUUUCAAUUUGGGACACCUUUACAAAGAGGAAAACACAUAUUUACUCAAGGUAAGCACACCUCACUUCUUGCUCAAUCUUAUUCUCUGUUAUCGAUAGCAAGUGAGUAGAACACCUUAAAUAUUGGAUGCCCAGGGAUUUUGUGUUUGAUUUCAUAUAUUGGCUAGCAAGAUAACACCAAAUAAGCUAUUUUGGGG